Molecule: small RNA, 148 nt
Filed under: Arabidopsis thaliana (thale cress)
Lineage: Eukaryota; Viridiplantae; Streptophyta; Magnoliopsida; Brassicales; Brassicaceae
Description: ATSL305020
Source: RNAcentral
AUAUAUAUUAUUAUAAUACAAUUUGCAAGUUUUAAUAUAUAUUACCUUUAAAAAAUAAAUCGUCCCGCGGUAUACCGCGGGUUAAAAUCUAGUUUUUUGUUUAAAAUAUAUGUCAAAAUUUUGUAUGUUUAAGAAGAGUCUUGUAAAC